This 492-nucleotide ribosomal RNA is filed under the name uncultured bacterium. Its description in RNAcentral is "partial 16S ribosomal RNA". It matches the Rfam family "Bacterial small subunit ribosomal RNA", at positions 29 to 507 of the family's 1533-position model. The record is from RNAcentral.
AGUGAACGCUGGCGGUAGGACUAACACAUGCAAGUCGAACGGCAGCACAGUAAGAGCUUGCUCUUACGGGUGGCGAGUGGCGGACGGGUGAGGAAUACAUCGGAAUCUACUUUUUCGUGGGGGAUAACGUAGGGAAACUUACGCUAAUACCGCAUACGACCUACGGGUGAAAGCAGGGGAUCUUCGGACCUUGCGCGAUUGAAUGAGCCGAUGUCGGAUUAGCUAGUUGGCGGGGUAAAGGCCCACCAAGGCGACGAUCCGUAGCUGGUCUGAGAGGAUGAUCAGCCACGCUGGAACUGAGACACGGUCCAGACUCCUACGGGAGGCAGCAGUGGGGAAUAUUGGACAAUGGGCGCAAGCCUGAUCCAGCCAUACCGCGUGGGUGAAGAAGGCCUUCGGGUUGUAAAGCCCUUUUGUUGGGAAAGAAAAGCAGCAGGUUAAUACCCCGCUGUUCUGACGGUACCCAAAGAAUAAGCACCGGCUAACUUCGUG